GGUGCCAUAGCUCAGUUGGUAGAGCAAAGGACUGAAAAUCCUUGUGUCCCCGGUUCGAUUCCUGGUGGCACCACUU
This 76-nucleotide transfer RNA is filed under the name Bacteroides ovatus SD CMC 3f. Its description in RNAcentral is "tRNA-Phe". It matches the Rfam family "tRNA". From Rfam's summary of the family: Transfer RNA (tRNA) molecules are approximately 80 nucleotides in length. Their secondary structure includes four short double-helical elements and three loops (D, anti-codon, and T loops). The record is from RNAcentral. RNAcentral also lists the same sequence under 2 other names. Lineage: Bacteria; Pseudomonadati; Bacteroidota; Bacteroidia; Bacteroidales; Bacteroidaceae.